This is a long non-coding RNA of Prionailurus viverrinus (fishing cat), 1241 nucleotides long. RefSeq lists it as uncharacterized. The transcript has 4 exons. The record is from RefSeq and is a predicted model, not a curated record. Lineage: Eukaryota; Metazoa; Chordata; Mammalia; Carnivora; Felidae.
GCCUGACAGAAAUAAACAAGCCACCUGGUUCACGAAUGAAGGAAAUGGACCAAAUACCAAGAACGCCUCUUAAUCCCUGAUCACUUGGACAGGAGAGAUCAGGAAGCAGACUAAAAGGGAUUAAAUACCUGCAGAAGAUCAAUUUGCAAGCGAUGGAACUUUGAUUCAGUCCCGGUGGUCUGACUCCGGAACCAGAACUGGGGCUAGGGCAGGACAUUUUCACCCAGUAUCACAACACUACAUAAGUUGUGGAAUCGUUUGAGACCAGUCCUUCAGACUUUAAAAAGGAAUUGAAAUUUUGAGUGUAGACAUCACGACUCUUCAAAAGCCGAAAACAGUGGCCGAUUUUCAAACUAGAAAAGGCCACUGAAGGAUCCUACAGGUUUUAACAUCUAAUAAGAGGCCCCGCAGAGCACCCCUACCUGUCCUAGACACCUCGAGCACCAUUUAAUCUGCUGAGUCACCUGGCAAAAGUCCCGGAGCAGCUCGCCUGCAGCUCAGACCGGUUGCAGAUCCUUCUCUUUUGCGGGCCCACUCAAAACUGGCAGCCUUUAGGGUAAUUCAGAAAAUGGGUCAAAGGAGCAGGUACGAAUGAGGUACAUGUCGUCUCCAAACUUCAAGGAGCCCUGCUGGCUCGGUGCCUCUUUCUCCGUGAUCACGGGGAACACUGGAAACCACUGUCGACAUGCCUCAGACACUGGACUCCUAGAAACGUCAUUAAGGUGGCAGACCUCUAAAAUUUUAAGGGGCUCAUUUCCCACCUGCUGAUACACAGGUGUCCUACCCAGGAGUCUAGAGUGGUUGCAACUCCUGCUUUCCACGUCCACAUCAGCAUAGUAGUGCCAACACAGUGGGCCAGUAUGAUGUCUUGUCAAAUGGAAGAAUGAUCGGUCUCUGCAGGGGCAGUAGUGACAGAGGACUGGAGAAUUCUAUAUCCCUGAGCUUGGGCAGGGAAGGUGGAUUUCUUGUCCUACCAGCUCAAAGCAUACUGUUUUUGUGGGUGUUUACUAACACAAAUAGAUAAUGCAGCAUUGACCAGAUACCCAGCUACAUAGCACACGACAGAGAGCAUGUUGACUUGCUCUAAAAACAAAAAGACAUCUGGAACAGCAGCUAAAUUGGAGUGGCCACCUGAAUCAGCUGAUAACAGACUGUCACCAAAAUUCACCUGCCUCUUGUACAGACACAAUUGAGCAAUUCUUUCAAAAGGAAGACAUUGGCAUUAUGAUUGCACAAUAGGG